Molecule: long non-coding RNA, 424 nt
Filed under: Meriones unguiculatus (Mongolian gerbil)
Lineage: Eukaryota; Metazoa; Chordata; Mammalia; Rodentia; Muridae
Description: lncRNA (ENSMUGG00000019509.1)
Source: RNAcentral
UAGGGUUGCGGCAAGGCCUGCCGCUUCCUUUCCCUGCAGCGCCCGGGAGCGUGAGCAGCGUGGAUGGCAUGGCGGGCAGCGGAGGCCCCGGGCGGCGGAACCCGGCCUGCCCUCGGCCUCAUCCAGGUGCAACAACUGUCUCUCUUGAAGGUACUUGAAUAACUUUUCUGAAAACUUGUCAUGGAAAGUGACUGAACAAGUUACCAGGACCACAGUUGCCAGUAACAAGCAUGUAGGUGGCGGGAGAUGAAUAUCCAACUUGAGUAUCUUCGGUUUGAAAACACGUUGUUUUGGGUGCAGCACAUUUUGGAAUGUAAAAUGAAGAAUUGGUCAAGAAACCGUGAACAGAGAAGCAAAUGAUGAAAAUUAGUUAAACAAGUUAUAUAGAAAUAAACAAUUCUAAGUGCUCUGGUGGUAAUUUCUU